Molecule: long non-coding RNA, 1080 nt
Organism: Carassius carassius (crucian carp)
Lineage: Eukaryota; Metazoa; Chordata; Actinopteri; Cypriniformes; Cyprinidae
Exons: 4
Source: RefSeq, a predicted model, not a curated record
ACUUUUGAUAAGAAACAAAGUCUUAGAUUUGAAUUCUGUCCAUCUUAUCUUGAAAUGUCACCAAUAAAUCUGACUGUGGUGCUCUCUAUCUAAUGCAGUGACGAUCACGCAGUGUGCCUCAGGUCAAGUGAAGCGGCAGCAUGCAGCACACUUGAAAGAUCACGUCUUCCUCUGUUUUUAACACCAGUUACGGGCUACAGCGCCAAAUAAACAUGAAUGAAUGCCAAAGGGUCUGUAAACAGAUACAGGACAUUUUACUGACAUUAAUCCUGUCACAUGUAAUCGCUCAAUCAGUGUUUCAGCCGUACUUCAGAGACGUCACAAACAGCUCGUCAACAAGAUGUCAUGUUUCUCAUCAAAUCCAUAUUCAGGGACCAUGAACUUGGUAUUCAGCUAGAAAAUUACUUCUGGAGAGGAGCAUUUUGAUAAAUAAAUACACCAUAUUACAUUCAUUGUAAUGUUUAAUCCAUAUUGUUGUUGUACUUUAGGAUAGUUGGUGAAAUAAUGGCAGUGAGCAUUACUCAUGAUGGACCUUUUUCAUGGAGUGGAUUUACAAUUUCAUUUCUUCCGGGAGAUUAAUAAAGAUGAGCUGACAUAACAGAUGCAGACCUGCUAGAUCUGAUUGACAAGAUUGAGACUGCAGACACUACAGCCUUGCUUGAGCUUUCUGAAAGAAUCGUAGCAUGUGGUACACAGGAUCCUAACAUGUGAUGAAAGGAAGACAUUGUCAGGAGUGAGGACUUUGACAGAACGGGGCACAAUGUCCGGCUUAAAGAUGGUGCUGUGCCAAACAUUUUUAACUUUCCAGCUCAUCUUCAGAGGGUCUGUGUAUCACUGACCAACAAUAAUUCAAGGUGGCUGGAAUAACAACCCUAAUGCCGUCCAGUUGAAGCACAUCUUUAGGAAGCUGAUGUUAAACAGAGGCAAUGUGACGGCACAGGAUGAGUCCCUACCAGCUGUCCUCAACACCUCUUCAAGCCUGUCAGCUGUAGAUAUGAGGAAAAGAUCUUCCAUCCCUGUUUGCUGACAUUCCUGCCCUAGUACAUGACCACAUUUACCUUCCCGUCUGCUUCGACGGUC